GGAAUCUCAAUCGACAGACGUAGUUAACAAAUGUUACAAGUAGCAAGGGAUCUUUUAUAUGCACCAUUCGACAGACGUGAUAGCACAUAGCAGGGACUUUGUUAUACCUGUCGUGGCGCACUGCCUGCAACGAGAAAUAUCCCAAUGCACUGGCUACAACGACAAAUCGCAAUGGUCGACCAACGUGGAUCGACCGCGCAUCAGACCAUUACCACUGACCUAUUUCCCGCAGCUCAUUGCUGAGUAACAUGUAAACAAACAACAUUGAUCGUAUCUACGCCCUGGUUUCGUAAUCUCAUCGACAAUACGUAGUGCUAAAAUUACGGGACAGAAUAUCGACUGAAGAUCGAUGUAAAAGAUAGCUACAAAUAUGACGGGUUUUAGUUUACAAGGAAGUGUUUGUGGAACAGGUAAGUAAUUUAAACACGCACGCACACA
Long non-coding RNA from Gigantopelta aegis, 438 nucleotides. RefSeq lists it as uncharacterized. The transcript is spliced from 3 exons. The record is from RefSeq and is a predicted model, not a curated record. NCBI's taxonomy places the organism in Eukaryota, Metazoa, Mollusca, Gastropoda, Neomphalida, Peltospiridae.